Molecule: non-coding RNA, 335 nt
Organism: Manis javanica (Malayan pangolin)
Lineage: Eukaryota; Metazoa; Chordata; Mammalia; Pholidota; Manidae
Source: RefSeq, a predicted model, not a curated record
AGCAAGGCUGAGCCACCGCACUGCAUCUCUGAAGAGCUGGUCCAGCUGUGUUAAACGUAUGGUGGUGCUGUGUGGGGCCGAGGCAGACAAAGCCAUGCGGAGUUGACCAGACUGGGAUCAGACUUCAGAGACAAGAGUCCCUCUGCCAAGAUAGGAGCAGCAUAUCCAGGGCCUGUGGUACAGGAUCCAGAAGAGAAAGGGGUCCAUUGUGCUCCACUGUGUGCUCCUUGGGGCAGGGACAUAGAGGAGUGAAGGAAUGAAACGGCUGCUUUGUGAUCAGAAUUUGAAUUCACUCCACUGGUUUUGACUUUUCCUUCCUUGAUGUGCCUCCUGAC